GCCUGUUUAUCAAAAACAUCGCCUCUUGCAAAACUUAUGAAUAAGAGGUCCCGCCUGCCCUGUGACUAUAUGUUUAACGGCCGCGGUAUCUUAACCGUGCGAAGGUAGCGCAAUCACUUGUCUUUUAAAUGGAGACCUGUAUGAAUGGCAUCACGAGGGCUUGACUGUCUCCUUUCCCUGGUCAAUGAAAUUGAUCUCCCCGUGCAGAAGCGGGGAUGCGCACAUAAGACGAGAAGACCCUAUGAAGCUUUAGACACAAGGGAGACUACCUUAAUUACCCCUGGAUAAAGGGCAAAAGCUAAAGGUAGCCCUCCCCAGCGUCUUUGGUUGGGGCGACCGCGGGGUAAAACAAAACCCCCAUGUGGAAUAGGAGCACCCCUCCUUCAACCAAGAGCUCCCGCUCUAAGGAACAGAACUUUUGACCAAUCAAUGAUCCGGCAUCGCCGAUCAACGAACCGAGUUACCCUAGGGAUAACAGCGCAAUCCCCUUUUAGAGCCCUUAUCGACAAGGGGGUUUACGACCUCGAUGUUGGAUCAGGACAUCCUAAUGGUGCAGCCGCUAUUAAGGGUCGU
RNAcentral lists this ribosomal RNA (573 nucleotides) under Dicentrarchus labrax (European seabass). RNAcentral describes it as "partial large subunit ribosomal RNA". It matches the Rfam family "Bacterial large subunit ribosomal RNA", at positions 1798 to 2575 of the family's 2925-position model. The record is from RNAcentral. Lineage: Eukaryota; Metazoa; Chordata; Actinopteri; Moronidae.